UUACGGCCGUACCACGUUAAAACACCGAUUCCCAUACGAACACUGAAGUUAAGCUACGUCAAGUCUGGUCAGUAACGUGAUGAGUGAACACCUGGGAAUGCUAGGUGCUAU
Molecule: non-coding RNA, 111 nt
Organism: Acanthosepion pharaonis
Lineage: Eukaryota; Metazoa; Mollusca; Cephalopoda; Sepiida; Sepiidae
Source: the annotation of a GenBank genome assembly